AUUGAACGCUGGCGGCAGGCCUAACACAUGCAAGUCGAACGAGUGGCGGACGGGUGAGUAAUGUCUGGGAAACUGCCCGAUGGAGGGGGAUAACUACUGGAAACGGUAGCUAAUACCGCAUACCAUCGGAUGUGCCCAGAUGGGAUUUGCUUGUAGGUGAGUUAACGGCUCACCUAGGCGACGAUCCCUAGCUGGUCUGAGAGGAUGACCAGCCACAGUGGAACGAAGACACGGUCCAGAAUCAUACGGGAGGGAGCAGUGGGGAAUAUCGCACAAUGGGCGCAAGCCUGAUGCAGCCAUGCCGCGUGUAUGAAGAAGGCCUUCGGGUAGUAAAGUACUUUCAGCGGGGAGGCGUUACCCGCAGAAGAAGCACCGGCUAACUCCGUGCCUGCACCCGCGUUAAUAC
This 406-nucleotide ribosomal RNA is filed under the name uncultured bacterium. RNAcentral describes it as "partial 16S ribosomal RNA". It matches the Rfam family "Bacterial small subunit ribosomal RNA", at positions 30 to 526 of the family's 1533-position model. The record is from RNAcentral.